AUCGAGUUGAUUUCAGAAUCUCCU
Molecule: non-coding RNA, 24 nt
Filed under: Arabidopsis thaliana (thale cress)
Lineage: Eukaryota; Viridiplantae; Streptophyta; Magnoliopsida; Brassicales; Brassicaceae
Source: RNAcentral